This 342-nucleotide ribosomal RNA is filed under the name uncultured bacterium. RNAcentral's name for it is "bacterial SSU rRNA". It matches the Rfam family "Bacterial small subunit ribosomal RNA", at positions 528 to 873 of the family's 1533-position model. The record is from RNAcentral.
GGGGGUGCAAGCGUUGUUCGGAAUUAUUGGGCGUAAAGAGCGUGUAGCGCGUGAUAAGUCAGAUGUGAAAGCCCUGGGCUUAACCCAGGAAGUGCAUUUGAAACUGUCUUGCUUGAGUACGGGAGAGGGAAGAGGAAUUCCUGGUGUAGAGGUGAAAUUCGUAGAUAUCAGGAGGAACACCGGUGGCGAAGGCGACUUCCUGGCCCGAUACUGACNNUGAGACGCGAGAGCGUGGGGAGCAAACAGGAUUAGAUACCCUGGUAGUCCACGCCGUAAACGAUGUUCACUAGGUGUUGGGGUAUUGACCCCCUCAGUGCCGGMKAACGCAUUAAGUGAACCGCC